This 534-nucleotide ribosomal RNA is filed under the name uncultured microorganism. RNAcentral's name for it is "bacterial SSU rRNA". It matches the Rfam family "Bacterial small subunit ribosomal RNA", at positions 9 to 524 of the family's 1533-position model. The record is from RNAcentral.
GAGUUUGAUCGUGGCUCAGGACGAACGCUGGCGGCGUGCCUAAUACAUGCAAGUAGAACGCUGAGGUUUGGUGUUUACACUAGACUGAUGAGUUGCGAACGGGUGAGUAACGCGUAGGUAACCUGCCUCAUAGCGGGGGGAUAACUAUUGGAAACGAUAGCUAAUACCGCAUAAGAGUAAUUAACACAUGUUAGUUAUUUAAAAGGAGCAAUUGCUUCACUGUGAGAUGGACCUGCGUUGUAUUAGCUAGUUGGUGAGGUAAAGGCUCACCAAGGCGACGAUACAUAGCCGACCUGAGAGGGUGAUCGGCCACACUGGGACUGAGACACGGCCCAGACUCCUACGGGAGGCAACAGUAGGGAAUCUUCGGCAAUGGACGGAAGUCUGACCGAGCAAACGCCGCGUGAGUGAAGAAGGUUUUCGGAUCGUAAAGCUCUGUUGUUAGAGAAGAACGUUGGUAGGAGUGGAAAAUCUACCAAGUGACGGUAACUAACCAGAAAGGACGGCUAACUACGUGCCAGCCGCCGCGGUAAC